GUCACUUUGGCCGAGUGGUUAAGGCGUCAGAUUCGAAUUUUGAGUAGCAUCUGAUGGGGUCUCCCCGCGUAGGUUCAAAUCCUGCAGGUGACG
This 93-nucleotide transfer RNA is filed under the name Serendipita sp. 399. RNAcentral describes it as "tRNA-Ser". It matches the Rfam family "tRNA". From Rfam's summary of the family: Transfer RNA (tRNA) molecules are approximately 80 nucleotides in length. Lineage: Eukaryota; Fungi; Basidiomycota; Agaricomycetes; Sebacinales; Serendipitaceae. The record is from RNAcentral.